ACAAUACUCCCUCCGUUCCAAAUUACUCGUCGCGGAAAUGGAUGUAUCUAGAACUAAAAUACAACUAGAUACAUCCAUACCUGCGACAAAUAAUUCGGAACGGGGGGCGUACUUA
Non-coding RNA from Triticum urartu, 115 nucleotides. The record is from Rfam. NCBI's taxonomy places the organism in Eukaryota, Viridiplantae, Streptophyta, Magnoliopsida, Poales, Poaceae.